RNAcentral lists this small RNA (76 nucleotides) under Xanthomonas sp. 3793. RNAcentral's name for it is "sRNA sX9". It matches the Rfam family "Xanthomonas sRNA sX9". The record is from RNAcentral. Lineage: Bacteria; Pseudomonadati; Pseudomonadota; Gammaproteobacteria; Lysobacterales; Lysobacteraceae. RNAcentral also lists the same sequence under 1 other name.
AUGUGCCGCUCGUACACUCCGGUUCCUCCGCGCCGUCCGCACCCACCUGACGACUGCUCGCUACGUUCUGGUAGCC